AAUAGAAAAAAUUAUUUUUAAUUAAAAUAAGUAUUAAAUUAAAAUAAAAAAAUUUUAUUUUAUUAUAAUUUUAGAAAAAAUUUUUUUAAUUAUAGUAUAUUAGUAUUGUGAAAGAAAUAAUUUUUAUUAAUUUAAGAAGAAUUAUUUUUUUGUACCUUGUGUAUCAGGGUUUAUUUAAUAUUUUUAAUAAAUAUUAAUUUCUCGAAUUUGAAAGAGCUAAUAAAAUAUUUUUUUAAUGUAAAAUAAUUAUUAUAAAUAUUUUUAUAGAAAUGAAAUGUUAUACGUUUUCGAAUAUAUCUAGUUUUAAAAGAAAAUAAUUUAAUUAAUUUAUUAAAAAUAUAAAAUUAAUUUUCUAAUUUUAUAUUAAUAGUGGGUUAUAUUUUUAGGGAUGAGCUUAAAAAUAGAUUUUUAAAAAUUUUAAUUUAAAUUUAAAAAAUUAUAGGAUUAGAAGUUUCUAUUAUUAAAAUGAUGUUAUAAUUAAUUUUAAUAUUAAAAUAAUUUAUAUUUGAAUUUUAAAUGUUAUAUUUUAAUAUAUUUUUUAAUUUUUAAAAAUUAAAAAUUAUGAUAAAAUUAGUAUUAUUUACUUUAUUAUUAAUUUAAAAUUUGAGGUUAAGUAAAGGAAUUAGGCAAAUAAUUUUUUCACCUGUUUAUUAAAAACAUGGCUUUUUGUUUAUAAUUUAAGGUCUAACCUGCCCACUGAAAAUUUAAAUGGCCGCAGUAUUUUGACUGUGCAAAGGUAGCAUAAUCAUUAGUUUUUUAAUUAAAAGCUGGAAUGAAAGGUUGAAUGAGAAAAAUUCUGUCUCUGUUUAAUUUAUAUAAAAAUUUUAUUUUUAAGUUAAAAAGCUUAAAUUUUUUUAAAAGACGAGAAGACCCUAUAGAGUUUAAUAUAAUAUAAUAAAUGAAUUUUUUAGAAUUUUAAUUUUUAUGGGUUAAUUUAUAUUUAGUUGGGGUGAUUAAAAAAUUUAAGAAACUUUUUUUUUAUAAAAACAUUAAUUUAUGAAUUUUUGAUCCAUUAUUUAUGAUUAUAAGAUAAAAUUACCUUAGGGAUAACAGCGUAAUUUUUUUUUAGAGUUCAAAUCGAAAGAAAAGAUUGCGACCUCGAUGUUGGAUUAAAAUUAAUUUUUGGUGUAGAAGUUAAAAAUGUUUGGUCUGUUCGACCAUUAAAAUUUUACAUGAUCUGAGUUUAAACCGGUGUAAGCCAGGUUGGUUUCUAUCUUUAAUAAAAUUUAAUAUUUUAGUACGAAAGGACCAAGUAUUAAAAAUAGUUAUUUAUGAAUUUGAAUAUUAA
RNAcentral lists this ribosomal RNA (1288 nucleotides) under Stictoleptura succedanea. RNAcentral's name for it is "large subunit ribosomal RNA". The stretch from base 1046 to 1205 matches the Rfam family "Archaeal large subunit ribosomal RNA", at positions 2542 to 2701 of the family's 2987-position model. Lineage: Eukaryota; Metazoa; Arthropoda; Insecta; Coleoptera; Cerambycidae. The record is from RNAcentral.